RNAcentral lists this ribosomal RNA (423 nucleotides) under uncultured Barnesiella sp. RNAcentral describes it as "bacterial SSU rRNA". It matches the Rfam family "Bacterial small subunit ribosomal RNA", at positions 355 to 776 of the family's 1533-position model. Lineage: Bacteria; Pseudomonadati; Bacteroidota; Bacteroidia; Bacteroidales; Barnesiellaceae. The record is from RNAcentral.
UGAGGAAUAUUGGUCAAUGGGCGGGAGCCUGAACCAGCCAAGUCGCGUGAGGGAAGACGGCCCUACGGGUUGUAAACCUCUUUUGCCGGGGAGCAACGCUGCGGACGCGUCCGCAGGUGAGAGUACCCGGAGAAAAAGCAUCGGCUAACUCCGUGCCAGCAGCCGCGGUAAUACGGAGGAUGCGAGCGUUAUCCGGAUUUAUUGGGUUUAAAGGGUGCGUAGGCCGGCUGUCAAGUCAGCGGUAAAAAUUCGGGGCUCAACCCCGUAAAGCCGUUGAAACUGGCGGUCUUGAGUAGCGGCGAGGCAUGCGGAAUGCGAGGUGUAGCGGUGAAAUGCAUAGAUAUCACGCAGAACUCCGAUUGCGAAGGCAGCAUGCCAGCCGCCGACUGACGCUGAGGCACGAAAGUGCGGGUAUCGAACAGG